CAGUAGCCGCGGGAAUACGUAGGGUGCAAGCGUUAAUCGGAAUUACUGGGCGUAAAGCGUGCGCAGGCGGUUAUAUAAGUCAGAUGUGAAAUCCUCGAGCUCAACCUGGGAACUGCAUUUGAGACUGUAUGGCUAGAGUGUGUCAGAGGGGGGUAGAAUUCCACGUGUAGCAGUGAAAUGCGUAGAUAUGUGGAGGAAUACCGAUGGCGAAGGCAGCCCCCUGGGAUAACACUGACGCUCAUGCACGAAAGCGUGGGGAGCAAACAGGAUUAGAUACCCCUGUAGUCCCUGUCUCUUAUAC
RNAcentral lists this ribosomal RNA (301 nucleotides) under uncultured bacterium. RNAcentral describes it as "partial 16S ribosomal RNA". It matches the Rfam family "Bacterial small subunit ribosomal RNA", at positions 509 to 807 of the family's 1533-position model. The record is from RNAcentral.